AUGUUAAAACAAGGGAUCAUCCAGCCUAGUUGUAGUCCCUAUGCUUCACCGGUUCUUUUAGUCCAAAAGAAGGAUGGUUCAUGGAGAUUUUGUGUGGAUUACAGACACCUCAACGCCAUUACUGUCAAGAACCGCUACCCUCUUCCCAUCAUUGAAGAACUCUUGGAUGAGCUAGCAGGCUCUUGUUGGUUCACGAGCUUGGACUUGAGAGCUGGAUACCAUCAGAUCCGUAUGGUGCCGGAGGACAAGCACAAAACUGCAUUCAAAACUCAUCAUGGCCACUUUUAG
This 288-nucleotide ribosomal RNA is filed under the name Triticum aestivum (bread wheat). RNAcentral describes it as "partial small subunit ribosomal RNA". Lineage: Eukaryota; Viridiplantae; Streptophyta; Magnoliopsida; Poales; Poaceae. The record is from RNAcentral.